UUCCAACAGCAGCUCCACCACAUCUCUUCCAUAUCCGCUCUUCGAUCUACGAGUUCUUGGGCUUUCCCAGCUUCGUAUUCGAUCCGGACAGCUAUCUUCUUCAUCCAUCUUCGAUCCAGCAGCCUUCUCUUCUUCGCCAAGUCCGCAGCAAUUCCCUUCACCACCAGACAGCUUCAUAUGCACCUCACAGAAAUUGGGUUGUUUCUUUUAUCAUGGAUCUGUGUUGAUAUUUUUUAUUGAAUGCUUGUAUCAAACUUGAUCUUCUUUAAUUAGAUUGAACGCACUUGAUUUUAAUUGUUUCAUGCACACAACUUGUUUGAUGAAAUAUUCUAAUCUUCUAAUUCUUGCAUGUAACGUGUUCGGUAAAAUGUCUCUUUCAAUAGUUUGGUUCAAUUUGACGCAUCUUAAUUUGCUUAACUCUUGCUUUGUAUUGAUCUUUCAAUUGCUAAGUUUUAUGUCUUCAUUUAAAUGCAAUUAGGUUAAGUUAGUGUCUUCAUUUAAAUGCAGUUAGUUUUAUGUCUUCAUUUCUAUGUUUAGUGUGUAUUGUAUUUUAAGUUGUUACAUAUUAUUUCCUUAUAGCCAUAAUAUUCUAACUAAUUUGUAGAUGAGAAUGAGGUUAUCUGGAGGCAAUCAAAUUAUCCAAGAAUGAUCCAUAAUUAUUUAAUGAGGUCAUUCUACUUUUCCAUAUUCUAUUGUGACUUAUGUUUCACUCGUUAGUAUCAUGCAGGAUACCAAGAGCAAAUGUUGCAUUAGCCACAACAACCAAGAGCAAAUGUUGCAUUCAAAACCAUCUUUUAAUCUUUUGAGAAGCAAUUUCUCUCAUGGAGUUCGAAGACAUGGAGGGUCGUGAUAGACAAUGUAAUAUAAAAAUUAGAUUACUUAUGGUAAGAUUUAAAAAUUUGUAUAGUUGUUUAUAGUUUGAUUAUUGGUCAAAUUUAUUUGGAUAAUAUAAAUAUUUAUUUAUUUUAA
Molecule: long non-coding RNA, 969 nt
Organism: Zingiber officinale
Lineage: Eukaryota; Viridiplantae; Streptophyta; Magnoliopsida; Zingiberales; Zingiberaceae
Exons: 2
Source: RefSeq, a predicted model, not a curated record